RNAcentral lists this ribosomal RNA (1462 nucleotides) under metagenome. RNAcentral's name for it is "bacterial SSU rRNA". It matches the Rfam family "Bacterial small subunit ribosomal RNA". The record is from RNAcentral.
GAACGGGAAUCCUGGGUGUAGCAAUACAUUCGGGAGGAUAGUGGCGGAAGGGCGAGCAAUACGUAGGUAACCUACCCUGAAGAUGGGGAUAACCCGCCGAAAGGCGGGCUAAUACCGAAUCUGGUUGUCUGUCGCAUGGCAGACGUACUGAACGAUGGGGCUCCUUCGGGACCUGUCGCUUUAGGAGGGGCCUACGUGCCAUCAGCUAGUUGGUGGGGUAACGGCUCACCAAGGCUUACGGCUAGGUGGUCUGAGAGGAUGAUCACCCGCACUGGGACUGAGAUACUGCCCAGACUCCUACGGGAGGCUGCAGUCGAGGAUCUUUUGCAAUGGGCGCAAGCCUGACAAAGCGACGCUGCGUGGAGGAUGAAGGCCUUCGGGUUGUAAACUCCUGUCAUUCGGGAAUAAAGCUUUUCGGUGAAUAGCCGGGAAGUCUGACGGUACCGGAAGAGGAAGCCACGGCAAACUCUGUGCCAGCAGCCGCGGUAAUACAGAGGUGGCAAGCGUUGUUCGGAUUCACUGGGCGUAAAGGGCGCGUAGGCGGUUUUGUGUGUCGGACGUGAAAUCCCGUCGCUCAACGACGGAACUGCAUUCGAAACUACAAGACUAGAGUACAGGAUGGGAGAGCGGAAUUCUUGGUGUAGCGGUGAAAUGCGUUGAUAUCAAGAAGAACACCGGUGGCGAAGGCGGCUCUCUGGAAUGUUACUGACGCUGAGGCACGAAAGCUGGGGGAGCAAACAGGUUUAGAUACCCUGGUAGUCCCAGCCCUAAACGGUGUGAACUUGGUGUGGCGGUGUUGACCCCGCCGUGCCGGAGCUAACGCGUUAAGUUCACCGCCUGGGAAGUACGGUCGCAAGACUAAAACUCAAAGAAAUUGACGGGGGCCCGCACAAGCGGAGGAGCAUGUGGCUCAAUUCGAUCCACGCGAAGAACCUUACCAGGACUUGACAUGCUGGUGGUAGGAACCCGAAAGGGCAACGGCCCGCAAGGGAGCCAGCACAGGUGCUGCAUGGCUGUCGUCAGUUCGUGCCGUGAGGUGUUGGGUUAAGUCCCGCAACGAACGCAACCCCUGUGUCUAGUUGCCACCAGGCUUCGGCCUGAGCACUCUAGACAGACUGCCCUUAGCGGAGGAAGGUGGGGACGACGUCAAGUCAGUAUGGCCUUUAUGUCCUGGGCUGCACACGUGCUACAAUGGUCGGCGCAAUGGGAUGCAAGACCGCGAGGUGUAGCAAAUCCCCAAAACCGACCCCAGUUCAGAUUGCAGUCUGCAACUCGACUGCAUGAAGCCGGAUUCGCUAGUAAUGGCGCAUCAGCUACGGCGCCGUGAAUACGUUCCCGGGCCUUGUACACACCGCCCGUCACAUCAUGAAAGCCGUCUGCACCUGAAGCCGCUGAGCCAACCUGCAAAGGAGGCAAGUGUCCAAGGUGUGGGUGGUAAUUGGGAUGAAGUCGUAACAAGGUA